GACAGGGAAUGAAGUUCUCCCUUGGGAAACCAGAACUGCUUAGAUAGCUGAUGACUUCUACGAUU
Molecule: non-coding RNA, 65 nt
Filed under: uncultured Roseburia sp.
Lineage: Bacteria; Bacillati; Bacillota; Clostridia; Lachnospirales; Lachnospiraceae
Description: Fluoride riboswitch
Rfam family: Fluoride riboswitch aptamer (crcB RNA motif)
Source: RNAcentral